GAGCCGGUAGCUCAGGGGUAGAGCAUGUGCCUUUUAAGCAUGGGGUCGUGGGUUCGAUUCCCACCCGGCUCA
This 72-nucleotide transfer RNA is filed under the name Elusimicrobia bacterium RIFCSPHIGHO2_02_FULL_61_10. Its description in RNAcentral is "tRNA-Lys". It matches the Rfam family "tRNA". From Rfam's summary of the family: Transfer RNA (tRNA) molecules are approximately 80 nucleotides in length. Lineage: Bacteria; Pseudomonadati; Elusimicrobiota. RNAcentral also lists the same sequence under 2 other names. The record is from RNAcentral.